UGGGGAAUUUUGGACAAUGGGCGAAAGCCUGAUCCAGCAAUGCCGCGUGUGUGAAGAAGGCCUUCGGGUUGUAAAGCACUUUUGUCCGGAAAGAAAUCCUUGGCUCUAAUACAGUCGGGGGAUGACGGUACCGGAAGAAUAAGCACCGGCUAACUACGUGCCAGCAGCCGCGGUAAUACGUAGGGUGCAAGCGUUAAUCGGAAUUACUGGGCGUAAAGCGUGCGCAGGCGGUUUGCUAAGACCGAUGUGAAAUCCCCGGGCUCAACCUGGGAACUGCAUUGGUGACUGGCAGGCUAGAGUAUGGCAGAGGGGGGUAGAAUUCCACGUGUAGCAGUGAAAUGCGUAGAGAUGUGGAGGAAUACCGAUGGCGAAGGCAGCCCCCUGGGCCAAUACUGACGCUCAUGCACGAAAGCGUGGGGAGCAAACAGGAUUAGAUACCCUGGUAGUCCACGCCCUAAACGAUGUCAACUAGUUGUUGGGGAUUCAUUUCCUCAGUAACGUAGCUAACGCGUGAAGUUGACCGCCUGGGGAGUACGGUCGCAAGAUUAAAACUCAAAUGAAUUGACGGGGUCAUAGCUGUUUCCU
This 585-nucleotide ribosomal RNA is filed under the name uncultured bacterium. Its description in RNAcentral is "partial 16S ribosomal RNA". It matches the Rfam family "Bacterial small subunit ribosomal RNA", at positions 355 to 1375 of the family's 1533-position model. The record is from RNAcentral.